Molecule: ribosomal RNA, 257 nt
Filed under: uncultured bacterium
Lineage: Bacteria
Description: partial 16S ribosomal RNA
Rfam family: Bacterial small subunit ribosomal RNA
Source: RNAcentral
GAUCCCUGGCUCAGGAUGAACGCUAGCUACAGGCUUAACACAUGCAAGUCGAGGGGCAUCAGGAAGAAAGCUUGCUUUCUUUGCUGGCGACCGGCGCACGGGUGAGUAACACGUAUCCAACCUGCCCUUUACUCGGGGAUAGCCUUUCGAAAGAAAGAUUAAUACCCGAUAGCAUAAUGAUUCCGCAUGGUUUCCUUAUUAAAGGAUUCCGGUAAAGGAUGGGGAUGCGUUCCAUUAGGUUGUUGGUGAGGUAACGG